Molecule: ribosomal RNA, 274 nt
Filed under: uncultured bacterium
Lineage: Bacteria
Description: partial 16S ribosomal RNA
Rfam family: Bacterial small subunit ribosomal RNA
Source: RNAcentral
AUACGGAGGGUGCAAGCGUUACUCGGAAUCACUGGGCGUAAAGGACGCGUAGGCGGGAUAGUAAGUCUGAUGUGAAAUCCUAUGGCUCAACCAUAGAACUGCAUUGGAAACUACUGACCUAGAGUAUGGGAGGGGGAGAUGGAAUUAGUAGUGUAGGGGUAAAAUCCGUAGAUAUUACUAGGAAUACCGAAAGCGAAGGCGAUCUCCUGGAACAAUACUGACGCUAAGGCGUGAAAGCGUGGGGAGCAAACAGGAUUAGAUACCCCUGUAGUCC